RNAcentral lists this ribosomal RNA (371 nucleotides) under uncultured bacterium. RNAcentral's name for it is "bacterial SSU rRNA". It matches the Rfam family "Bacterial small subunit ribosomal RNA", at positions 527 to 896 of the family's 1533-position model. The record is from RNAcentral.
AGAGGGUGCGAGCGUUGUCCGGAAUCACUGGGCGUAAAGGGCGCGUAGGCGGCCUGAUAAGUAGGGGGUGAAAUCCUGUGGCUUAACUGCAGGGCUGCCUCCUAGACUGUCGGGCUCGAGCACGGUAGAGGCAGAUGGAAUUCCCGGUGUAGCGGUGGAAUGCGUAGAGAUCGGGAAGAACAUCGGUGGCGAAGGCGGUCUGCUGGGCCGUUGCUGACGCUGAGGCGCGGCAGCGUGGGGAGCAAACAGGAUUAGAUACCCUGGUAGUCCACGCCGUAAACGAUGGACACUAGGCGUCGGGGGGAGCGACCCUCUCGGUGCCGUCGCUAACGCAGUAAGUGUCCCGCCUGGGGAGUACGGCCGCAANNCNG